Molecule: long non-coding RNA, 20762 nt
Organism: Heterocephalus glaber (naked mole-rat)
Lineage: Eukaryota; Metazoa; Chordata; Mammalia; Rodentia; Bathyergidae
Source: Ensembl
GUAAAGGUGCAAAUUUCCAAUGAUGAAUGUCAUUAUAUUGUAUACCUAAAAUGUACCAAUGAUUAGAAUGAGUAAUCGAUAAUGCAAAAUAGGAAGAAAAGGUCCAAAGGGCUAGGGCUAGUGGGAGGGGCAGGGGAAAGGAAAGAAGGGAAAGGAAAAAUGAUGAGAAAUGGAAAAAAUGGAAAUAAAGUCUUUGUAAAUAGGGAAGGGUGGGCUAGGAAUGGGGAAAAAAUAAGAACCAAGAUGCAUUAUGUAAAGGUACAAUUCCCAAUGAGAAAUGUAAUUGUGUUGUAUACUUAAAAUGUGCCAAUAAAAGAAUUUAACAACACCAAAAAAAUAACUCUGAGUUCCACUUUACAGAUAAAAUGUAUCCAUUGCUUCUCAUCCACCAUGUGUAGUAGUUCUUACUUUCCCCCUCCUGCAGUUUUCAAGAUCACAUAAAAUAGACUCUGAAGACCAACCUCAGUUCCCACCCCUGGAAUAAUUCACUUUUUCAUUUCAUUGUCUCAUCUUCUAAACUCCAUUACGUAUAAAAAGAUAUGAAGAAUUAUUGCCUCAAGAUCAAAUCCUUAUGUAAACAUCACUUUGUGAAACUUUUAAAUAUAUAUUGUUCACAUCUGUCUGUCCGAUUCACGAUGUUCUUCGACGCCAAUGUUGUUGGUCCGUGUCAUUCUGCAGAUAAAUGUUGCAUAUUUUGCAGCUCCUGUCAAUUGUCCUAUAUGGGACAUUCAGCCCUCCAGUGCCACAGAUUCAUACUUGGAGUCAAUUCAUUGCUUUAUACCCAUGUUUAUCUUCUUAGCAUAAAUCCCCACAGAUGGAAUUUUGAUUCCAAGAAUGUGUGCGAGUUGUAAGAUUUUUAUGUUUCUAAAUUUGCAAUUUUGACAAUUUAUUCUUUUCCUUAUCAUAUAUAAAAAUCUCCCAUACCAGAGCUGUCAUAGAAAUUCUUGGUAACCUUCUUAAAAACACUCUUGCAAUUUCCAUGGGUUAAAAAAAGAGUCAGUUCAUCCUUUGAAUAUGUAUUCUUUCAUCUCCUUGUAUGUCUUAACCAUUUACAGUUCCUUCAUUAAUUGUUGCUUUGUAUUCCUUGCCUGCUUUUUAAUUCCUGUUUCCUAGUUGCUACAGCAUAAAAAAUGAUCAAUACAAAUAGAUUUUAAGGCAUACACAGUAUCAGUACAUUCCUUUUUAAUGCUAAAGAUGGGGGAACAUGUAUAUAACAAGUGUCUGUGUAAGCUGGAAUGCCUGGCCUCCUUAUAAAGCCCAGACUUCUUCUGAGUCCAUCCUAGAAAUUUUCAGCCUGCUAUAAUGCCAUGUUGGGUCAGGGUGUUUCUAGACCCUGUAGCAUGCACGAGCAGUGCACCGUCACCCCAUACACUGUGUUUCUCAUAUAACAAGCAAUUGUGCAAGUAUUUUACUGUGUAUGCAUCACGGGCAUCCUUUUCAGGGUACACAAGUGGGAUACAAUAUGGGCACCGUGAUCCCACAGAUGCUGGAUGUCCCCAGGGUCCCUCUCUCAUAGAAAUGUCCCUCACAGAUGGUUGCUUCCUGGGCAUGGAGAAGACGACCUGCUGAAAAUUGAGCACAGCAGAACCUCUGCAGCUCAAUUUCCUGCUUUGCAAAACAAGAGUCCUCUUCUCAACCUCAUCCCAAAGCCUGGUGGCCACCAUCUGCUUUCCUCUCUUAGCUCAGCACAUUUGACAGGCCAGAGCAGGCACUGUGCAUCUCAUUUCCUUUUCAAUUCUGGAGUUAAAGAAAAACCCAGGAGUGGGUAAGGCACUGCCGAAAUACUGUGGACAAACUAAUUUGACACACUUGAGAAAGGAAAAAAGAUAGGAUUGGCAGAAUUGGUAUUUGGGCAAUAGGAAAUGCUCAUACAAAAUCCCCAAGUAUUUCAGGCAGGGCCGACAGCUCAGGGUCACGAUUCUAGAACUAAAAUCCGCAUGCCCCACAUGGACAACUCUGAGCCGUGGUGUAUAUGCUUAAUUGUUUCCUCUUAAUUGGCGUGGGAGUCCACCAUGAGAUUAAAGCACAUGCACGGGUGUGUUUGUGUGGGUCCCUGGAGGAGGCCUGACCUGGGGGUUUCUGUCUGAACCCUCACACCUUUCUUUCUGGAACUGUUCUCCUGCUGAACUAAGCAGUUUUCCUCCACUAUCUCCUUCUGCAAAGGUGAUCUCGCUUUGCAGGGACUGAACCCUCCGAAACCCUGAGCCAGAUGAACCUCCCUCCUUGAAAUUGUGGGUGUCAGGUGUUGUGUCCCAGCAACAGGAAACUGAGUAAUCCUGAGUCCAGCCUGUGCUGGGCUCUGUCACUGUUGUAGUCACUUAAUCAGAGGAAAGAAGUAGAACUUUCACAAGGGCAGCUGUAUCCUAGAAUUUAAUCAUUGUGUACACUUUACAAAAAUGACCUCUUCCCAGGAGUGAAAUUUGUCCUUUUAUUCUUUUCCAAUUUUUUUCUAACUCUGUUCAUGUUAAAUUGUGUGGCCAUAGCCUUAGGUUCAGAACCCCUGAACAGCAAAGAAUGGAUGUGUUUAACUGUUUUAUUGAGGGAGAAUAAAAUAUUCACAGUCGCCUCAAGUGGCUGUGUGUUCAUUGCUUUGUGAAGUGUUGAAAAUGUUCGAGCAUUUAAGAGGGCCGAGAACUCAGAUGCUAAAAAGUAGUUGCUGUCUACUGGUUAAAAUGCCAACAUCAUCAUCCUCUCGAGUUUUGGACACUCACUGGAUAUUUCCUGAGCUAAUAAAAUGGUCGUUUGCCAGAAUGUCAAGAUUCUAUUCCUGGUCCAUCUGCUUCCAUGUCUUCUAUUUAGGCAGGGUUGGUAUUGCAAAAAGAAAAAAAAGAAGGAAAGAAGUUGCUGUGUGGAGGUGGUUCUUCAAUUGUCAGGACUCCCGGGGCUGUGGACCUGAAACACCUUGCUCACUUUGGCCGUCACUGGUAUCCUUCCAGCCCAGCAAAUACUCAGCCCAGCAGAUACUGCAGAUACUGGGCCCUGCACCAACGAAAAGGCAGGGGUUUAGCCAGGGCAAGGCAGGAGACAUGCACUCCCAAAAACAUGCUACGAAAGGGGAGAUCCACCUGCCCCACCUGCCCAAUUAGGAACACCAGGAACGCACACCUGACAGGUUCAGUCCCGCUGGAAAGGUCCUCUCCACAAGAAGAAUCUGUCAUCUCACUGGGGCUUGCGUGUUACAGAUGAUGGAGCGCUGGUGAGCCUGCAUUUGCUCCUUCCCUAGGAAGCCACAUCCACCUGGAUGGAAAGCUCUGCUUCAGGACUGCCGUCCUGACACCCUAACGGAAUAAGCAGAGGCAGAGAGUCCCAAACCAAAGGCAGACGGGGCUCUGGACGUUUGCCUCUAGAGAGUUUCCAUACAUGCUGCAUCUAUUUAUGAACACCUACUGAAUCAAAGCCGAAGCUCUUUGCAUAAAGCACUUCUGGAGAUAAGGGACAAAUUAAUUUUUACUCAUUUCAUAUCUUUGGGCAUAAAGCAGUAGAGGAGUUAAAUGUCUUUAAGUUAGCAUUUCAAAUAUUAAAGAGUUAUUUUUUUAAACAGUGAGAGUGAUUUUCAUCUACUCGCAGCUGCUGAGACUACAGCAAGAGCAGGAAAGCAUGGUUAAGGGAAAGGAUCCAUCUUAGUAUUAUUAGUAGUAGUAUUUUAUUAUAUAUUUUUUAUCGUGGGCUUGUGUCUUGCAGGCACUGCAGCCUGCAUAUGGGCUGGAUCCUGUGCACAGGUCCAAGCCUUCAUGAAAUCUUUCUCCUCUGGAAAUUUGCUUCCAGAUUCCGCUUCCACCAGAGAAUUGCCUCCUUUAAAUUUUCUGAUUUACACCGACCGGCUUGGUAGCAAUUAGGGACAGAAGCAGAAAUAGCAAGUGCAAUUAUUUUAUUGGCUCUAUACACUUCCAUCCUGCAGUAUAUAACAAAUCUACCUAAUUAUUCCCUUAGUAUUAGGUACUUUUGCUUUUAAAGAUAUUAGAAGCGCAAAUGUUCAUGUCCUUAUCUCCCCUUGUGUUAACAACAAACUUCUCAACACAGUGGCCUCUGCUUGCUGUGUCUGUUUGCUGACUUUGUUCAUUCCUAGCCCAUUUGCCACCUUGCUUCAGGCUGUCUCACCCCACCCAAAGAAUUAACAAGGUCACUUGUAGUUGUAGCACUCAUUACAAUGGAUCUGUUUUUUUAAAAGCUUUGUUCUUAGGGGAUUUCACACCAGCAUGGCUCUGUGGGCACCUUACCAAGGAAUCUGUUUCUGAUUCCUACAACACAUUUCUCUUCUCUCUAAUCCUUCCCCCCUGGCUGUUCCUCCCAUGUCCCUUUUGCAGGUAUGUCCUCCUCUGCUAGGGUGGGGAUGUGCUGGAUGGGGGUAGGUCUUUGUCCUGGGCCCUGAGCUUCCUUCUCACAUUAUCUUAACCCCUCAGCUUUAUGGAGAAAACAUCUAUAGAUUACUCGCAUGAAAGAUCCACAUAGGACUCACGUAAGAUCCAAUACAGAUAAAGUAGGUGCUUUGCAUGAGACCCCUGAUAUAAAUCUUCAGAGUUUCUGCUGUAGACUGUUUGUCUCCCCCCAAAUCCAUAAAAUCCUGACUCCCAAAGGAGAUAGUGUUAGGAGGUUCUGAGGAUGGAGUCUCAUGGACAGAUUCAGUGGCCACAUCAAAGUGACCCCAGAGAGCUCGUUGCCCCUCCCACCAUGUGAGGACACAGGAAGAAGAUGCCAUCUAUGACCCAAAAAGCAGCCCCCACCAGACAAACCUUGUCCUUGGACUUCAGCCUCUAGGACUGGGAGCCAUCGAGGUCUAUUGUCCAUGAGCCAUCCAACCUUACAGCAGAAAACUCUAAGCUUCCCAUGUAUGGUAUUUCAGGCUAGGUCCCCAUGAUAGCUUCUCUAUGAUGCCUCCCCAUAGAAAGAAUGGUUAAUGGCUGCAGGGUUGUAGUACAUAGAGCAGGAAAAAGUCCUAGUGUCUACAGCACAGCAUGGUCGCUAUAAUUAACCACAGCUUAUUGUAUAUUCAAAACAGCUAGAUCUUUAACAGAAGAUCUUUAAUAUUCCCAACACCCUGAUCAUUAUAUAUGAGCCGGGAUCAAAAUAUAUGGUGAGUACUUCAAUACAAAACAUUUUAUUACAAUAAAAGACACAUUGCCAUAAAUCCCUCCCCAAACCUCUCUCCUUGCAUCAAACACACUUACCCCAUUGUUCUUGGCACUUUCUGAAGCAGCUUUGGAAGUCUUUCUUGAAUGUCUUUUCGAUGAAAUACAGUGGAUGCUGCUGCCGAGUGUCGUCCAAUGGAAAGGCAGCCUUGUGAAAACAUGACAGUGUGUCCUCAUCUAUCUUAUUCUCUGGACCUGGCACUGUGUGACCUCUGACUCAUUCCCAAAGUCAAAAUGACCAUGAAAGGUAGCAUUUUGAAUCAAUUCAGGACAUCAAUUCAGGAAAGAAGACUUCUAAAACUGUUCAGAAAGUGCCAAGAACAAUGGGAUGUGUGUUUUCAAAAGGAGUAUUUUGAGGGGGAUUCGUGGAAAUAUGUCUCUUAUUAUAAUUUUUUAAAUUUAAGCGUUCAUUAUAUUUUUGAAUACCAUUGUGGAUUGCAGUAACACCCUGUACUCCAUAACUAUGUGCAAUUAUUAUAUGUCAAGUUUUUUUUAAAAGAACUCAUUUUCUUUGUAUCUUUUAGAGGUUGCUCCUAAGAGCACUUGUAGAAAAAAAGAAAAGCCUGCUGCUGAUUACUAGGUAUUAUUUUAGGGAUGUUAUUGGAAAAUCUAACUUGUCCCAAGCAAACCCAAGGCAGGCAUCUUUACUUCCUCAAGAGUUAGCAGUAAAGAGUUUGCUCAUUCUCUAAGAAGCACAGAAAAGCUGCCGGAAUAAUUUAGGGUUCUGCUUUUGGUAGCUCGAAAUCUGAGAUAAAAAGGUUUUGUGCAAGAAGAGGGGGCAGAGAAGGAAGGACAUGCAUAGCUACCUUGCAUUUUCAGCAAGGGUUUGGAGACAGAGGAACCGGAUGGCAUUAAUUAAACUGAAUUAGUGCUGAGCCGCCUCCUUUCUGCCUUUCAAAGGCUUUGUGUUGCCUUCAGUUUUCGCGGAAUUAGAAUCAUUAAAAGAAAAGGAGAACAGAGCCUUCCAAGAAAUGAUCUCGUGUCUCAGACCUGUAAUUUUAAGUUUCACUGUUCCCCUUUGUGUGUGUCCAUAGUUCUUGCUUCCUUUGUGUGCAGUAUUGGGUGUUUAUUCAGUUAUAUUUUUAGAGCCCCUCCUUCCAUGGCCAACUCCUGUCUAAAUGUUUGCAGAAGGCUGAGGGGGCAGAAUUUGUUCAAAGAUGCUGUCUGAUGGCAUGCUCAGAAAAGCACUUCCUCCCAUUGAAAACGCAGCCCUGUCUGAGAAAAGGGUGUUGUGUGCUACAUGAGAACCUCCUGGGGAGAAGUCCUCGUGUCAGGACUCUGGGCUUGGGAGGUGCAGAGGUCAUGAGAGUGAAGCCUCAUGGAUGAGAUCUGUGUACUUACAAAAGAAGCCACAGACAGCCCUCUGUCCUUUCCACCAUGUGAGGACAGGGAGAAGGUGCCAUCUAUGAACCAGGAAGCAGCCCUCAGCAGACAAAGGAUCAGCCACUCCUUGACUUUUGACUUCUACCCUCCAGGACUGGGAGCCACCAAAGUCUGCAUAGUGACCAUCCAUUGCCCAGGCUGUGGGAUUGCAUAUGGCUGCCCAAGCUGACUAAUCCCAGUGAUACACCAGCCCCGUGACCCAUGCAAUGGAUGGGAAUGUGUGUCCCCCAGAUUCUUAUGUUGAACACUCACCUCCAAGUUGGUGGUGUCAGAAGGUGGGGGCUCUGGGAGGUGCCGAGAUCACAAGGGUCAAGCAAGACCACAGUGUGUUCCCUACCCUUUCUGCCAUGUAAGGGCACAGUGAGAAGCUGCCAUCUAUAACCCAGGAAGCAGCCCUCACCAGACACAGGCUCUGUCAUGCCUGGACCUUGGACUUCAGCCUCCAGGACUGUGAGCAAUAUGUUUAUGUUGUUUUUAAACCCCCAGCCUACACUAUUUAUUGUAGCAACUGGAUUAAUAAUAGCUCUUUUCCAAAUGAGAAAGGCUCCAAGAGAGGGAGGGAGGAAUGCAGAGAGGAGGAAGGGGAAGUAAGAACUGAGAAGUGCUAUGUGCACGUACCAACUCCCCACCAUGAUUCAAAUCAUUCUGCACUACAAACAUGUGCUAAUAAACACUUAGCAGAAGGCUUUCUUCAGACACAACUAAGAGAAUUCCCAGGUUCAGAUUUCUACAGUUCAUACCGAUAAUGCUGAAAGUUUGAUUUGCCCCCCUUUUUCCUUAAUGAUUACACUUCAUUCUUUCAUGUCUCUAUGACUGUUUUCUUCUAAUUAUCCUUGCCAACUUCUAUUUUAUUUAUUUCAUUUUAGUUUUUGAUAUUUAUUUUAAUAUCCAUUUUUAUCUUUUUACUUUUAACCGAAACAUUUAGUCUGGUUUCCAUUGUAUGAUAUAUUAUAAUUUAAUGUUACCAUAACUUUACCUACUCAUUUUAUCCCAUUUUUGUCUUGUUCUUUUCUGUAUUUUGAUGCCUUCUUUAAAAUAAAUUAUUCUUUAGGUUAAAAAAAAAGAGUUGAAGCUAUUAUCUUGAACAUCGUGUAUCCUGAAGAUGUUCUUUUUAGCCUUAUUAAAAAGCAGCAAAUGGUAUAGAGGAAAGGUUUAGAUUUGAUGUUGGUUAGAGGUGGGAAGGCACGUUUCUUAGCUGCAGGAAUGUGGGUUUUUUUCUCUACGGCUGAAUUGUUCUCAAUGCAUAAGCCAAACCAGGGGAUGCUGUUACUUUCCACUAUUCGUGCAGUGACAUCCAGCUACCCACCAGGUUCUGAUCAUCACAUCCCCUCUUUCUGUCCUCCUGGGCCUUUCUUUGUGUAGUGAGAUUUCUGUGGUGACUCAGAGAGGUCACGACACAAGGGUGACUUCUUAUCAUUGCAAUGGUGACUCUCUGCAAGCGUUCUUUAAGAGGAUGGUUAUUAAAUUCUGUUUUGUAUCCACUCACACUUCACCACUCAUUUAAAUGAUAAUUACAAAGGCAUGACCCAUGAAACGCUGAAGUCACCACGUGGUAGCUUGUGAAUUAAUAAGAAUUACAAAUCCACAAGUUUUAUUCCACCGUACAACGGCCCUAUUUUCUAUUUGGAGAAUUUUGUCUUCCAACGAUUCCUCACAUUUUCCAAGACUUAAUUUCCAACACGUUGACAUAUUCAAAUGUAUCCAUCUACAAGAUGCAUGAAGUUUUAAAUUGAAGAUCAAAGUCAAAAGGACAAACUUACUGGCUGUUGUAUUGUUUCUUAUUUUUUUUCCUUGAAAAGCUCUACAAGCUUUGCAAUAAUCAUUUUCUUAAUUGAAGUUUUAUGUUAUCAACCUUAUUCAAUUAGUAUUGCAUGAAAUCAAGGGAGAGCAUUAAAGCUAACCCUUCACGUGGACUCACAUUCAUUACAGCCUGUUCCACAUAAACUUUCAGGAAUGAAAGGUGUCAAUAUCAAACUGAAACAGUGCUAAGUACAUGAAAAUUUUUGUGAAUUUUCAGGAUUAAUUCAGCAAGUCACCAGAUGGCAACAAUGGCUCAAGCUUUUGUUGACUGCCAACUCCACAAUCUUUACCAGGAAUGUGGCUGUUGGCGUCAUGGUCAUAUGACGGCUGCUGUACUUACAGGCAUCACAUCUUCACUCACAAAAGGAACAAAGGCCAAAGGAGUAAAAAAAAGGUAAAAGGCUGAGGGAAACAUGCUGAGACUGCCUGUCUUAGCAAACUUAAAAAGCUAGACAGUUAACCCAUUUAUUGAUUUCAUUUUGUUAUGUAGAUUAGCUCCAAUGAAUAUGCAUAGUUACAGCGAAACUUGGGGAUGGAAAAGAAGAGGAAGGAAAAGAUGGAGUGCAUAGUUUGGAGAGGAUGGACACAGUAUAUACCAGACAUAGGCAGUACCACUUACCUGGGUGAGAUAAGCUCUACAUUGGCUCAUCCAAUGCCUAGGGUUAUUCUCUCUCUCUCUCUCUUGCUCUCUCUCUCUCUCUCUCUCUCUCUCGCUCUCGCUCUCUCAUACUUUGCUGAAUUGGAAGAAAGCAUGUCCAAGACAAAACUAACAAUGCAGCUAGUGGCUCUCUGUUUUUAAGAUAAAAUGAGUUAAAAUGUUAGCAUUAGCUGGAUGGCCUUGGCUAAGAUACUUGACGUUCCUGAGCUACCAUUCUCUGCUCUGUAAAAUGACAACCAUAUCCGCUGCCCUAGUUCUACUGUCAAUAUUCUAAUGUAAGUUUCUUACUCAUAAAUAAAACCUCGUAUUGAUACAGCAAGAGCAGGAAUUGUGUAACAUGUGCUGCCAAAGACAGAGUGUUUGAAUCAGAUGCACCUUGAGACCAUAGUGUUAAGUGAAAUCAGUCAGUCAGACAAGGUGAAAUAUCACAUGGCUUCUCAUACAUGAGAAAUCCAAAUUAUAAAAAAAGAGAGGAAGAAGAAAGAUAACAGGAAACAGGGAGACAGAUCUUUGAGAAAAGGGAAGGGGGCCAAGAGACCAUCCAUUUUUCUACCAAUGAUCCAAGCUCGUCCUUCUCUACGGCACAGUAGUACUCCAUGCUGUAUACAUUUUCUUAUCCAUUCAUGCUGAUGGACACACAGGCCUCUUCCAGAAUUUAGCUAGUAUGAAUUGUGCUGCUAUAAACCUGAAGGAUCACUAUCAUAUGAUGUCUUUAGCUCUUUGGGGAAGACACGUAGAAGGGGACUAGCUGGAUCAAGUGGAAUUCCUAGUUUUAGGGUUUGUUUUUUAAGAUAAUGGCUAGUAAAAUAUUUAAAAAGUAGUGCCAACUUUAAGGGUUUUGAGACUUACUGAGUAGACAAGACCAGUGGACAGACCUGAGAAGAGGAUUGUACAUAAAACAUAGUUCUUGGUCAAAUGCAGGUUGCAGACAUGAAGCCAGCCCUCUGUAUCUUCAGGUUCUGCAUCCUUGGCUUGAACUCACGAGGUAAUGAAAAUAUUUGAAAAAAAAUUCUUACAUUGUCGCUGGCGUGUCCAGGGUUGCUAGGCCUAUGGUAGUUGCAUUUGUACUAAACAUAUGCAAAUCUUUUUCCUUGUCAUUUCCCCCUAAAGAAUACAGAGUAAGAGCUACUUACGUGGAUUUCCAUUGCAUUAGGUUUCCCAAGUCGUCUGGACAUGAUUUAAAGUAUACAGGACUAUGUGGGUCGCUCCUAUGAAAAGAGCACCGAAGACUUGGGAUCCAUGACUUUUGGCAUCAAAGGGGUUGGGGGUCUAGGAAGCAAUUCUCUCCUUGGAUGCAGGAGAGCGACUGCAUUUGCGUCUGCUUCUAGACCCUCCAUCUCUGUUUCUUCCUACUCUCUGUCCUUCCUUCCUUUCUCUUCCUCUCCUUCCUCCAAGGCCAGCUGAGGGGGACCAGAUAAUCUAACCCCUUUAACUGCUGUAUAUGUGAGGAAAAGGGAGUGACUGGCCUUCAUUCAUCAAUUCAUCAAAAAGCUUUUGUACCUAAGGAGAAAUACCUACACAUUACUUUAAAACGCUGAAAAUUUUGAAAACAAAAUAGCAGUGAAAAUACAUAAUUGCUCUGUUUUAUAUGAUGACUAGAAACAAACAUGUAUUUUUGUAGAGUUGGACACACAGAGGCUAGUUUUAUACCAAUGUCUGUGGGAAGAAAUGCGAAGCCGGCGCGCAAGCUGUCCUUCCAAAAGAACCAUUUAGAAAUGGCACUGAGGAAAUAUAAAGGGUAAUUCACUCUGCUAGCUGAAAAUAGAAUCUCCAUAGAACUGAAAGGAGUUUGUUUGAGCAACAUAUUUAAAAUAAAAACAACACUGGAAGCCUAGGACCCAUACACAGAAAACGAAUACUAAUGUGCUGUAAAAAAUCCGACUCUGUGUGUUUAGUGGUAUGUUCAUGAUUUUUGAGCAGAUAAUUAGUUCUAGAUUGAAAUGGAAAAAAAUGGGUUACCAGUAGGUUGUAAGCAAAUAAUGGCGGGCAUUUCACGUUGUAUCUGUAUUGAGAACUGAAUCAAGGGUCUUUUCACUGAGCUACAUCCCCAGCCUUUUUAUUUUAUUGUAAUUCAUCUAUUUUAUUUUACUUUAUUUUAUUUAUUUAUUUAUUAUUUUUUCUUGGUACCUGGGGAUCAAACUUGGGACCUUGCGGUUGCGAGGCAGGCAGCAGAACCACUGAGCUAAAUCCCGGGCUUACUUUAUUUUAUUUCAUUAUUUUGGGACAGGUUCUCCUAAAUCCCUGAGUUGCCCAGGCUGGGCUGGAAUUUGAGAUCCUCCUGCCUCAUUCUUCCAGAGUACAGGAAUUACAGGCCUGUGUAGCUGUGCCUGGCUAGUUCACUUUAUGUCUGAGAGUACAAAGUAGAGAAGCAGGUCAUAUUGCUUUUACAUAAAAUCCGAGCAUGUACUUUUGGUCCAUCCCUAGGCACGUGUUCCUCCACUUACAAUGGCUCCAAUAUCGGAUUUUUUAUGGUGCCAGCAAAGCUGCUUGUUCUUGGUGGAAACUGCACUUGCAGUUUUGAAUGCUGAUCUCUUCCCUGCCCAGGGACGGGUGGUCUGGUAUCCACUGUGAUCCUCAGCAAGAGGAAGCACACACUACACACUCCAUGGUGCUAAGCCAGGAUCUUCCACAAGCCUCUGACCAGCAGGCUCUGCCAAGGAGAGAAUGAAGGGAAGGUCAUAGGAGACGCAUAGACAAACACCUUCCCCUCGGAGCCCCUUGAAGCAUGCUCCGGAUCCAGUGCUCCUAUUUACAGGUGGUGAGUGCUGUCUCCACAGGGCUAUGCUGCACUCUCAGAAUAAACUGGAAGGUGCACCUAAACCAAUUUGGGGAUGCAACUAAAAAUAAAACGUGCAGGAGCUUCUCUAGCUCUGGAGAGACUCCAGAGUGUCGCUGUCAAAACAUGGAGCUCUUCUGCAGACUGCGUCCCCAAAAGGAAGGGAAGUAGUUCCCCAGUGCUGCUAUUUUGCCACUGUCAAGGGUUUGGGUGAGACUCCUGAAUGCAUGUUGCAGGCUUUGAGAGCUAAGGCUGAUGAAAGAGCACACCCAGCCUCUUUUUCUUUUAACACACUUUCAACUUGUUGGCCCUUUCUCGCUCCGUGUCUUGCAUGGAAGGAACUUUGCAUUCUUACCACAUUUAGUACUUUGCCUGUGGGGAACAAAAUCUUGAGAAAUAUCUGAAAACACUUCACUUUGUGUGCAAGUUGGAAAUCGAGGAGGAAAUAAAGCUGAUAUCACUAGGAAUGCUUUUAGGCUUCCAGGUGAGAGAAUUUGGCAUGAAGGCUGGCUGUCACUUUUUGAGAAUGUUUCAUUUCCCCUUCAGGUCUGAGUGAUGUUCUGUAGGUCUGGAAUUUCCUGGUUGCUGUAGUGAUUUAAACUUGAAAUAAUUUUGUAAUAGGAUGUUUUUUGGUGGCGAAAUAUUUUUGAGAAAGUUUUAGGAGAAGGAGUAUGGUGUGUGGGAUGGGAACGAAUGUGCUUUUGAAAAUUAGAAAAAUUACUCUUUUAUGGUUUUGAAUAGAAUUGUCUCACCAAUCUGUUGACACACUUGUAAAAAGCUUAUCCUUUCUUUGCUCAGAUUAUGGUAAAAAAAAAUAAGACUGAAAGGUCCCCCCCCCCCCCAAAAAAAGCUAUUGAAAUAUACAAAACAUUAAAAAUAAUGUUUCCUUUAUAAAAAUUUUUUGAGUUUCUGAAGAGCUUUUCCAUAAUUUGGUAAGUGUUGUGCACAGAAAAUAUAAUACAUAUUAAAUAUAUGUUAAUUAAUGGAGAUAAAUGCUAGAUUCUUAAAUUCAAAUCACACACAUAGCAGCAGAUCAUGAGUCCCAGGAUAAAAAGGGUAAGCCACUAAUAAUCUAAGCAAUAUAUAAAUAUAUUGAUCCUGUUCACUCAGGACUGAUGCCAUUUCUAGGAAUUUCACUUUAAAAAAUUACUCAUGGUUGGUUGAAAAAAAUAUAGAUGAAAGAAUUUUUGCUGGAGUAUUACUUAUAGAAAUGAAGGAUGGGAAACAAUUUAUAUGCCCAAACAUAGUAGAUUGACAAAAUUAAUUGUGAGCCAUUCAUGUAAUAAAUUAUGACACGGGAAUGAUUUACUGGGCAUGGAAAGGUGUUUAUGAUGUUAAAAGUAAAAGGUAGUAUUUGAAACAUAUUUUGUGAAGUAGAUUUGCAGAGUAAGCAGAGAACUGAUCAGGAAUGAUUUAUAUAAAACUAUGGAUGGCAACUUUGAGUAAUGCGAUUAUGAGCACAGUAAGUAUUUUCUUCUCCUUUUGGCUUAUUUUUACAUCCUAUUUUCUCUAACGUGGAAGUGGGAGGUAUUCCCAGAAAAAAACCCAACAACUUGGAGUUGAAAUAGUUUAUCCUUCUCUAGGGCUUUUCUUAGCUUGAAACACAUGGACAUAAUAAAUGGAAGUGUAAAGACAAAAUGAAGAAGGCAUAAUUGGUUCACAGUGGAAUAAACAUCCUGAGUGAACGCUGCUUGGUUUAAAUAUGGGUAAUGUCUCCCAAAGUUCCAGGUAAAAAGUGGUGCAAAGGGAAGGUGCCGUGGACCUUUAAGAGGUGGAGCCUAGCAGGAGGAAGUGAGGUCAUUGGGGGUGUGGCUUUGAAGGAGCUAUGGAGACUCCCCUCUCAAUCUCUCCGCUUCCUGACUUGUGUUGGCGGGUGUCUGUUUCUCCACCUGCUUCUUCCAUGAGAUUUGCCCGUUGCGGGAAUCCCUAAUAGGAUCGCUCAAUCUGCUUCUUGAUUCUGCAGAUCUCGGAACCAAAAUGAACCCUUUCUCCUUACCGAGUUCGUUGCUCUAGGUGUUUAUCUCAUGGGAGUAGCACAAAGCUGACUGAAACAAUCAGGAAGAAUCAGAAGCUCAAGUGGUGCUGGCUAAAAUGCUGAUGAUGGUAAUUGAGCCAGAAGAGAUGUAAACCCAGCAUGUAAUGCAAGAAAUAGCCAAAAGGAGUAAAAAGCAAGCCUAUGGGACAAUUUAAUUAACUGCUACCAAUUGAGGAAAAGACUCGACAAAAGAUUAAAUUACAGGUACCAAUGUCAAAGAGAGAUGAGAACAGGAUGUCCACGAGUGUCCUAAAAAACAGACCAAAAUCAUCUUCUUAUAUGCAAGAGAGACCAUAGGGUCAAAAUUAAAAGUUUUGUUAAUAUAGCUUCUGAAUCCACAGAGGAAGUUUAAAUAGUAAUAUGGGUAUAAAGCAAUCCAACAGGAAUCAAGAGAGAAGACAAUCUCCCAAGGGCAUAAAAAGACAAAAUCAAUAAAAAUAUACCAGUAUUUUCAACUAAGAAGAACCGUUACUUAGGAUUAAAGGAACCACCUCUGAAAUAAUCAAGACCUUUUGCCAGUUGGACCCCAUGACCUCACAAAGCAAAAGGAAAAACAAGACAAAGCAAUCCUGCCCCACAAAACCAACAGAAUUUAGGGGGACUUUUUUUUUUUUUUUUGGUACUGGGGAUUGAACUCAGGUCCUUGCGCUUGCGCAGCAGGCGGCGAAACCACUGAGCUAAAUCCCCGGCCAAGAGGGGACUUUUAAAAAUAUAUAUUUUUAACAUAGUACUCUCAAGAAAUAAAAGAUUAAACAGGACAAAAAAUACUAAAAUUAUUGAGAGUUUGACGAGUCCAGUUAAUGGAGAAUUCACAGUGCUUUCAAGCACACCCCAAACAUUUCUGAAAACUGCAUAUUAGCAGCUAGCACCAUGUUGAAUAGUGUCAGAGAACUGACAUGUUAGACUGAUUUCUCUGAUUCCAUGCAAAUUGAAUUAGAAGCUAACACUUAAAAGACAAUAGAAUAGAUAAAUGCUUGAAAAACCAGAACGGACAUCUAAAAUAAAUCUCCACUUAUAAGAAAAUCCAAAAGAAACUUAGCGGCUCAUCGUGUACCAUACAUUGUAUCAUGAGCUCCAUUAGGAAAAAUAGAUCUUAAAAAUGUAGCCAGAUAUGCACUUACUAAAAGCAAAAGAAAAUCUGUGCAAGUUAGCAUAGGGAUGUAAGGAGAAGGUGAGCAGAGUAAAAUCAAACACCUCACCUCCAUCACCUUCACCUUGAGGGUUAAGAGUUCAACCGAUGUAUUUGGAGGGAAAACCAAUUUUCUUGGACCAUAGCAAGUCCCAGGGAUAUUUUAUCCUUUCAGUUGUCCAAAGCAGUGGUUUCAAAGUGUGGUCCUUGGAAUAGCUGCAUCAGUAUCACCUGUGAAUGUGGGAGAAAUGCAAAUGUUGAAGCAAACAUGGUGGGACACACCUAUAGUUCCAGCACUGUGGGAGGUGAAGCUGGAGGAUUGCAAGUUCAAGGCUGGUCUGAGUGGCUGAAUGGCUUAGUGAGGCCCCAUCUCCAAAUCAGAGCUCCGGUGGUGGAUUCAGCAAUCUCUGCCUAACAAGCCUUCUGGGGCAAACUGAUUCAAGCUCAAGUUGGAGGACCACUUCCAUUGCCCAUUCUCUCUCACCACCCCGGGCAUUAAAAUCACCUGAGAAGAUUCCCAAAGGCUCAGAUGCCAGAUCUGCAGUGUGUGAGUUUCGCCGGCUGUGGGUACGUGUGGUCAUAAGUGGAACUUUGCUGUUCACCAGGAAAUUCAGCAGUUUAUCCAGGGCUACGAAUGAAGAAUAGGAAACAGUGUUGCCCGAAAUCCAAUGUCACCAAGGAUUACCCCAUUACUUGUGGUAAUGCUGAUUCCUGGGCCACGAUUCAAGGAAUUCUGAUCCAGUGUGUCUUGGGGGAGCCCAGGAAUCCGCGAUUUUGGCAGAUGGCUCCAGAGGCACAUUCUCUGGUGCUGUUUCUCACAUUUUAGUGAAGAUAGAUGGUAGUAAAAUCCCCUUCAGAGAAUGUUUCUGAGUCACCUAUAAAGGUGCUAGGAAAGGCUUUGCUUAAUGCCUCUCAUAAAGCAUGGUGCAAAACCAAGUUAUUCUUAGAGCCCAGUAUUAGGUGCUCAUGAAGAAAUAAAUUAUGUUCUUUUAUUAUACACCCAGGGCUAUUGAAUUCCUCAUGCUUUCCUUCUUCCUUGGACGAUGCGGAAACUGGAAAUUCAAAUUUGGGCUUCAGUUUCGAGAACUACCCUUAGACCUGCAGUUCUUGUUGCUUGUGCUCAGUUGAUGGUCUUUGUCUUUGCAGGGACCAUUUUAUUUUGGUUUUUUUGUUGUUGUGUUUUGGGUUUUUUCAAUACCAGGGGUCGAACUCGGAACCUUUUGCUUGCGAGGCAGGCAGCGGAACCACUGAGCUAAAUGGCCAGCCCAAGGACCAUUUUAGAUAGUAGGUAUUAAAGAAGUUAGCCUUGCUUGAGUGGGAAGGUAGCCUGUGUCUUAGGCUCCCAUGAGGUCAGCUUUAAAGGCUUCCAGCAUCCUACCUGAUAUCACACCUAGGUUUUCUUGAAGGCCUUGGAUCAGCCAGAACGAUGCAAUUUGAGGCAGUGCCUUGGACCACCACAAAAACGUGAUUUAGAUGAGUAUUCUGUGAUCAUCCUGUAUCAGUGCACUUCUGCAGGAUGUGGAGUCUGGGAGUGGCUUCCUGCUUAGCCAACUAGUCUUUUAUGACACUGGAUUCCCCCAAAGACUCCAUCCAAACCUCAGGUGUGGUUUCCUGAUUAUCAUCCUCUCAGCAAAUUGUCACCCAUCAAUGCCUGGAAAGUGUUGCUGUCUAUUAUGCCACAGGGAUAGAAGUAUUGAAAAAUGUGUAUUUGAAAUUUUCCUGAGCUCUGCCCUCUGGUUGAUUUGUGAUCUGCAUUUUUCCAAAUUGUCAGUGGGGAAUUCUGUCAUCCUGUUACCAUCAUGGUGUGUUCAUACAAACCAAUAUGGCUACAUCAUCACUGGGCAACAUAAACCCAUGAGGCCAUCAUUGUCUAUGUGAUCUGUCAUUGGCUGAAGUGUCUUUAUGCAGUACCCAGUGGUUUUCAAGACUCUAAAGACUGAAAGGGUAGAACCUGCUACCCAUGCUUGCUCUUGUUACAUUGAAAGGCCAGCCUACUUGUUUGUAGGCAUCAGGUAUUUCUUACCUUUGUCAUUUCAGUUUCUGUAGAAUCUAAUUAUGGUCUCAUGAUGCAUCCAUUUUCCUACAAAUGUCUCAAAUGUGUCCUUCUUUAUGGCAGAGUAGUACUCCAUGGUGUGCAAAUACCACAUUUUCUUUCUCCAUUCAUCCAUUGAUAGACAUAUGAGCCACUUUCAAGAUUUACUACUGUGAGUUGCACUGCUAUCACUAUGGGUGUGCAUGCAUCUCUGUAUUAUGAUGCCUAAAUCUUUUGGGAAGAUAGCUAGAAGGGGAAUAGCUGAAGUGAAUGGAAUUUCAACUAGAAUGGAAUUUCUACUUUUAGUUUUUUGAGGAAACUUCUUACUGAUUUUCGUAGUACUUGGAAAGAUUUAAUGACAUCACAAUCAAAAAAUACCAACAGCAUGCCUCAUCAAACUAGAAAAACAAAAAAGGAAAACAAUACUAUAAUUCACAUGGAGCCAAAAGAGACCCAGAAUAGCUAAGACCUUCCUGGGCAACAAGAGCAAAGCUAGCGGUACCACAAUCCUGGAUUUCGAGUUCUAUUACAAAGCCACAGUGAUAAAAGCAGCAUAUUACUGGCUUUCUGAUGCCCUCCCUAUCCAGCCUGCCAUCCCCAGGCAGUGAUGAACUUGUCCUAGUGAUGAACUCCUCCAGCCCUGUGACACUGGACAUUCUGAGCCCUGCCUGGACACCUCCCUGUCUACUUUCUCUCCCUGGACUCUGCUUUUCUCUGAGUGCCAGUGAAUGCCAUCCUCUCCUGUUAAUGCCUUCAUAAACCUCAAGUCACAGCAAGCGUCUCCAGGGCUUCCCUUUGGCUUCUCAGCCAGCCCACUCACCAACUCUGGGACACGUCAUCUGUGGACAGGACACUUGCUCAAAAGCCAUCCUUUUUUUUGAUCUCUACACAGGACAUGUUUUUAGCAUGUUGCCAUUUCUCUAAACUCACAGGCAAUUUUCCAUUUGCACCUUCUGAUUAUGGAGAAUUCACGAUCAUUUCUUUAUCUCCUUUUCAUGGCUUCCUAUAACAUCUGACCUCCUAUAGCAUUCAUUGACCUGGGGACUGUGUCUUAAAAUGUUCUUUGCCUUUUGGAAUUGCCCUUCAAGCUGAUGUCAAUUAUCUUAUGUCUCAUAGUAGGAAGCAAAGGGUCCCAUCAAGGAGGGCUGCAUAUAUCGAGAUGCUUUCUGGAUAUGCAGUUGUAGGAGUAAACAGCAGGCUUUUGCAAACCGGCUUAUCUCUACAAAAACAACAUCUUUCUUCCCAGAGCCCUGGAUGACAAAAUAUCUCACAUGGAGUUCUUUCCACAGAGUCCUGAUGUAUGGGACCAAGCAAAAGCCAGUGAAAAGGCUUUGAUUUGCAAGCUUCCAGGAUAGAGUGUAUUAACUCUGAGAAGGCAAAGAUUCCUUCCUCGGGGCUUAAAGAGGAAAAAGGUGCAGCAUAACUGAGGACAAACUGCCAGUAUUACUGGUAAAAAUCAUUUUAAAUUAUUCUAUCAUAUCUUGGAUGUAGAGUGUAAGUCCAUUGAAAAUAAUAUCUUAAUAAUGUUUUUAUAUUUAAAAACACUCAAGCUGGGCACGGUGGUCCAUACCUACUAUCCCAGCACUCUGGAAGGUGAAGGCAACAGGAUGGGAAAUGUGAGGCCAGCCUGGGCAUCUUGGCGACAUAGCAAGAUCGUGUCUCAAAAUAAAAAGGGCUGCAGAAUUCGCUUAGUGUGAAGGCCCUGUGUUCAGUUUCCAGUACCAGGAAGAAGGAAAGAAAGAAAGGAAGAAAGGAAGGAAGGAAGGAAGGAAGGAAGGACCUUCCUAUGCAUGGUUUCCUUAUGAUACCCCUGAGACCAUCAUCUCUGUGUGCUGUUGCUCUGUUCUCUGCCACGUUCACUGUACAUGUGGCAUCCUCAUCAUCUCACGUAGUUGGUACCAUGACCCUGAUUUUAUCCCCGAGCACAUACCAGAGCCUGCAACCGGUGACCAUUCAGCCACACAAGUCAGAGCCUCAGAAUAGAGCAAAAGACAGAGCUUGGUGUACAACACCUCUGGGUUCAAAUCCAAUUUUUUUUCCCCAAGAAAGUCAGUUGUCAGGUUUAGUGUCCAGGUUAGGACAGUACUUGUUUAGAUAUGAAGUGCCCCACAGAAGUCCCAGUGUAACCAGAAGUAGAGCUUCCGGAAGGUGACUGCAUCAUGAGGGCACUCACCUCCUCAAUGCAUUAGUGGUUUCACUGUCGAAUGUGCUGUUACCAGGUAUGGCCGGGUAUGGUGGAAGUUGACACCGGAGGGGUAACCUGGGAGAGGAUAUCAUGGACUCAGCCCAUUCCAAAAGCCCCACUUCUGAACACAUGAACUUUCUGGGGGAAGUUCUUGUUCUAAAUCAUAGCGAGCAUAGAUGAUUUUUUUGGUCUGUGUUUCCAGAGGAUUGUCCUGUGGAUUAUAAGAUGUUUAGCCUGCAGCUCUGGACUCUCCCCACCGGAUGCCAAUGUCCCUGCUGUCCUUUGCAACUGUGACAGGCAAAAUGUCUUCCAAAUUUGACACAUGUCCCUUGAGGGGCACGCUCACUUUCGGUUGUAAAUCACGACUGACUCUAUACCCACAUUUUUAUAAAUAGAUCUUUUGUAAGUAGACCCAUCUUUAAUGUCGACCUAUCUGUAAUGUCUUGAAGACCCUAAUUGGCUCAGUAAGGAAAGACUAAAAGCAUGUGGCACUGUUUAUUCUUCGGACAGUGGGUAGUUAUUUGAAAGCUUCCUAUGUAGCGUCUCCUUAUCCCCCCCGCCAUCUCUUCCUCUUUCCCUCUCUCUUUUCAGGUAGAGUCUUUCAACCUUGGUAUUCUUGCCAUUUGAGGCCAGAUAAUUCCUUAGUUGGGAGUGGCCCCAUGGCACUGCAUAUUCUUUUACACCAUCUCUACCCUUCACCCUCCAAGUACCAAUAGCAGCCCCUCUACUUUAGUUGUGAGAGCCAGAAAUAUCUCCAGUUAUUGCCAAAUGUUCCUUCAUGGAAAAAGUUACUAUCUAUCUAUCUAUCUAUCUAUCUAUCUAUCUAUCUAUAUUACUCCUCGAAGGGAACACAAGUGGGCCUGAAGUGGCAGCUUGAGAGGUAUACAUUUAUUGGGAAAAAUCAAAAUAUUUUAUAUGGAAGGGGCAUGACAUUUGAUAGGACCACAGUCAGCUUUAGUAUGGACUGGAAGGGAUAGUUACAAUUUCCAAGCUUGGUCACAAACCUAGAUCAUUGUUCAUGGUUUUAACUCUUUAUCACCAUCAUUGUCUUUAUCAUGGGAACCCCAUUUUAUACGAAAAUGCUAAAGUCAUAGUGAGCUUUUGAAAAGUGUACCCACAACUCCGUCACUGCAUUCAACUAAGUGAGAAUUGAAAAUAUUUGGGGAAAAAUGGUAUGUGUAGUAUACUUGUAAUAUGGUGAUUGUAAGUGAAGAAUCCACUAUAAGAACAAUUCAUAUUCUAUUAAAUAUCACAAGUCAUAGAGUCAUGAACUUUGGGAAUAUAUCUUGUCCCAGGCUUCCUUCUCUCUGGAUCUUUUUGCUUACUCUGCUUCCUGGUCACCAUGAGGUGAGCAACUUUGUUCCACCAGGCCCUUCCGCCAUGUUUGUGCCCUGGAGUCAGAUGCCAGAUUGAACCCUGUGAAACCAUGAGCCAAGCUAAACCUCUCCUUUAAAUUGUGGGUGGGUGUCAGAUAUUUCAUCCCAGCAACAAAAAUGCUGACUAAUGCCCCUCUUUAGAACAAGGUAGAGAUCAUGCUAACAUCUGGAGAAAGGACCAUCUUGUUAUUUCUUGGGAAAAUAAACCACUCCUCUUUUCAUUUGUUUACUCAGGAAUUUAAUCCUAGGAACAGAAGGCAAC